GUGGAUUAGAUACCCGGGUAGUCCACACCGUAAACGUUGGGCGCUAGGUGUGGGAUCCAUUCCACGGGUUCCGUGCCGCAGCUAACGCAUUAAGCGCCCCGCCUGGGGAGUACGGCCGCAAGGCUAAAACUCAAAGGAAUUGACGGGGGCCCGCACAAGCGGCGGAGCAUGCGGAUUAAUUCGAUGCAACGCGAAGAACCUUACCUGGGUUUGACAUAGGAAGAAAUCCAUCAGAGAUGGUGGGUCCGUAAGGGCUUUCUACAGGUGGUGCACGGCCGUCGCCAACU
RNAcentral lists this ribosomal RNA (287 nucleotides) under uncultured bacterium. RNAcentral describes it as "partial 16S ribosomal RNA". It matches the Rfam family "Bacterial small subunit ribosomal RNA", at positions 773 to 1060 of the family's 1533-position model. The record is from RNAcentral.